This 512-nucleotide ribosomal RNA is filed under the name uncultured bacterium. RNAcentral describes it as "bacterial SSU rRNA". It matches the Rfam family "Bacterial small subunit ribosomal RNA", at positions 555 to 1071 of the family's 1533-position model. The record is from RNAcentral.
UGGGUUUAAAGGGAGUGUAGGCGGUUUGUUAAGCGUGUUGUGAAAUUUAGGUGCUCAACAUUUAACUUGCAGCGCGAACUGUCAGACUUGAGUACACGCAACGUAUGCGGAAUUCAUGGUGUAGCGGUGAAAUGCUUAGAUAUCAUGAAGAACUCCGAUUGCGAAGGCAGCAUACGGGAGUGUAACUGACGCUUAAGCUCGAAGGUGCGGGUAUCGAACAGGAUUAGAUACCCUGGUAGUCCGCACAGUAAACGAUGGAUGCCCGCUGUUAGCGCCUGGCGUUAGCGGCUAAGCGAAAGCAUUAAGCAUCCCACCUGGGGAGUACGCCGGCAACGGUGAAACUCAAAGGAAUUGACGGGGGCCCGCACAAGCGGAGGAACAUGUGGUUUAAUUCGAUGAUACGCGAGGAACCUUACCCGGGCUUGAAUUGCAGAGGAAUUAUUUAGAGAUAAAUACGCCCUUCGGGGUCUCUGUGAAGGUGCUGCAUGGUUGUCGUCAGCUCGUGUCGUGAG